Molecule: long non-coding RNA, 11657 nt
Filed under: Citrus sinensis (sweet orange)
Lineage: Eukaryota; Viridiplantae; Streptophyta; Magnoliopsida; Sapindales; Rutaceae
Description: long non-coding RNA (CSIN_LNC000545)
Source: RNAcentral
UAAAUGUUAGAAGCAGGGAAAGUUAAAUUGAAAGAGUUCGAAACUGACCGAGAACAGCGGUAGCUCCUAGGAGGGUAUCAGCUCCGGCGUACUUGCAAGACUUGCAAUAAACGACGCCUUGAACUUCAACAAGGCUCCUAGGGAAACGAUGGGUGGGUGUGGGUGGGUGAGCAGGAGCAACGUGCGGUGGAGGUGGGUGAGCAGGAGCAACGUGUGGUGGAGGUGGGUGAGCAGGAGCAACGUGUGGUGGAGGUGGGUGGGCAGGAGCAACGUGUGAAGGUGGGUGAGCAGGUGCAUGAGCGGGAGUGUGAGCCGGUGCAUGAGCCGGCGGGUGGGGGUGGUGGUGAUGAUGGUGGUGGCUUGGGGCGUGAGCCGGUGGGGCAGUAGGAGGGUGGCUGUGGUGGUGGUGGUGGUGGUGAUGGUGGGGGCUUGGUGCCGUUGCCGGGGUUACCGAGUGGUAGUGUGAUGGUGGCAUAGCCAUGGAACUCUCAGUGUAAACCUGUUCACCAUACACAGUGAAGCUGCAGCCGGCUAAGACCAAACAAACAUGAACAACAAUCAGUAAAGCUUUACCCAUUUUGUUUUGUUUUUUUUUUUCAGUCUUCUUUUAUCUCUAGUAAAGAAGAUGGCCAGCCAACUAGGGGGAGGGUGAGAGAGUGAGAGAGAUCGAGAGAGGUGGUGAAAACGAUCUCCGAUUGGGGGAAUUUAUAGGGGUUUUAACCCGUGAUUCUCUGCGGUUUUUUGUGAUAAAAUUUUUAUUUUAUAAUAUGGUGGUGGGGCUAUUAUUAUGCAUUAUGCUGUGAGGUGGACACAAACAUAAUGCAAAAGAAGAGAGAUAAUGAGAUAAUGCAAGAUUGAUUCGUUAAUUUGUUUUAGCGUUUGGUUGAGGCCCAAAUAAAAUUUGUUGAAUUUUUUUUUUAAUUUUAAAUCUAAUAUUAAAGUCUAAUGAUAUUCAUAAUACUGAUAUUCAAUGUCAAAUGUGUAGACAACUUCUAACAUCUCAAAUUGACUCCCAUAAUGUGUGUGUAUAUUAUUCAAGGAGACUUAAAAGGUCAUUCCACAUGUGUUGUGUGUAGAAAAAGAGUGACUAAUGAGUAGGGAUGGUAAAUUAAUCCGGACCAGGAUUGGACCCGGAUAAUCCGGUCCGGGUUUAACCCGUACCGGAAGGUAAUACAAUGCGGAUCCGAAAAGGAUAUUUUGAACCCGGAUAUAUUCCGGUCCGGAUCCGGUUUAUCUUAACCCGGAUGUCCGAAACCCGGACCCGAAUAAUUUAAUUAUAAAAGAAAAAAAAAAACCUAAUGCCUUAAGUCUUAACCUACUGCAGCCGCUUCUUUCUUCUCCAAUUUCUCUUUCUUUCUCCUCCAUCUUCUCUUUUCAUUAAAACAAACCCACUGCAGCUGCUUUCUUUCUUCUCCAAUUUCUCUUUCAUUCACUCAAAUGACUUGGAAAAAUCUUUGUAUUGAAAGGAAGACAAAGAGGAAUGCACCCAUUAAGGCUUAUACUCAUUUUUUGUCACUCUUGCUGGUUUUUGACAGCUACUUUCCGCCACUCUUGCUGAUUUUUUGUCACCAGAAAUUGCCGAAUCUCCACAGCAACUUUUUGACGAUGCUCUCCUCGACGCCGACGACAACACCAAUGCCACCAAAAAUCUGAAAACUCAGCAAUCCUCCCUCAACAUUCAUUUAGCUAUGGUUUCAGGAUUUUGGUGAUUUGAGAUUUGGAGAUUUGAGGAAGUAACAUCAAGAGAAAAAAAAAAAUUGUAAUAGAUAUGCGGGUUUAGAACCUGCAAUCCAAAAAUUUGACUUUUUCUGGGUUCAAUCCGAUUCGGACCUACAAUAAAAAUAUCCAGAUUAUAUCCAGAUCCGGUAUAACAAAAUUAUCAUUCGGAUUCAGAAUCGAAAAGACUGGACUCGAACCCGGAUCCAGAUUUUGCCAUCCCUAAUAAUGAGUGGGUUCCAUACGUUAUUUUACUUACUAGGGAAAAAUUAUACCGGUGGAGGAUUUUAAAAGGAUAAUUAGGAAUACAAGGUGAUUAAAUCCCAAGAGAUCGUUGUAAACAAGUGGCUCAGAGAUUCACAUGCAGAGGUGAGACCGUGCGAGUGGGCUCCGGAAUUUUGGCACAUGUAGCGAGGCAAUGUAGAAGUUUCCGAUGUUUCUUUGGUUACUGAACCUCUCGUCUUUAUUUUUUUAAAAUUAAAUUAAAUAGUACGUUGAUUCUUUGGUUUGGGAAAUUAAUGAUAUUUACUAAAACUCUUGGUAAAUGGUAAAUAAGAUGAAUGAUUGGUAUGGGCCCAACCAAAAAGUAAUGGCAAGUGAUAAAAUUUCGAGCUCUUUGUGGAUAAAGAAAGAAUAUUGUACGUUACAAUAAUUUUUGACGUUGAAGUUCCUGUGUUUCACAAGAAAAGUGAAAAUAAAAUAAAGCAACCUUAAUUUCCUCCGUUAUUAAAAAUAUUAUAAUAUUUUAAAAAUAUAUUAAUUAUUUAUUUUAAAUUAAUAAAAUAUAUUUAUUAUCUAUUAAAUUAUUAAUUAACGUUGAAAGAUAAUGACAUUAGAAGGGUAAUUUAAUAUUUUCACACGAUAUAAAAAAUAAUAAAAGAAUUUAAGAAUAUAAAAAUGAUAAUUUAAAAGUACGUAAGUGAUAAUAAGAUAAUUUAAGAGUAUAUAAAUAAUAAUUUUUUUAUUUUAAUUUAAAUUUCAAAAAUAAAAUAUCAAUUCGCUGUAUUAACUUUCAGAUGGUAACUAAUGAUUUAGUUAUUAGUAUAUAUAUUUUGUCAACUUAAAAUGAACGAUUAAUAUUAUUUUUUACAACAAAACAAAUAUAAGGUAUAAAAUGAUAAUUUCCCUAACAUAAAUAAAGAAAUGAAACACUAUUUUCGCUUUUGCCACUUUCGUUUUCGGUUUCGAAUUAUCGUCGGAGUCUAGAAACUAGGUUGUGUAUUUAUUAUAUGUGCUCUGUUUUUAUUUGUUUAUCUUUUCUCUGUUCUGACACCUUAGAAAACUUAAUCAGAAAACGACAUGGCAAGGAGAAAAGAAAAUAUUAUACUAGGGUUAUUGAUAUUAAAUCAGAGCUAGAAUUAGCCUUAGGGUUCCUUCUUUUAAACCCUAAAAAUUGAAAACUCAAGUUUAUUAUUUAUCGUAAUAUAAUUAAAUUCCGACAAAGUUAAAUAAUGGGUUCAUUUGAUGGGUAAGUCGUGUAAAAUUUAUCAAUCGUUUUUCGCGUAAAAUUAAUAGUAGAAAUUUCCAAAUCUAAGCGAAUGUCAAAUUUGGUCCAACGCAUGAAAUAAAUUAAAACUCUGGAGAUGAUAACUUUCUAGAUAAUGUAAUUGAGCUUUUUAUAUAUGGAACUGCAAAUGUAAUUCCUCUGUCCCGCAUUUCGGUCCUUUUAUAGAAGGUUAGAUAUUAUAUUUUGAUGAACUAUUAUUUGAACUAAUUAAAUAAUGAUCGCUCCUUGCACAUAUCCACUGGGAUGCGUUUCAAGAGACAGAAUGAUAUCUGCUGUACCGUACAUCCGCCUUGGCCGUACAGCAGAUUAAUAAAAUAUAUUUAUUAUCUAUUAAAUUAUUAAUUAACGUUGAAAGAUAAUGACAUUAGAAGGGUAAUUUAAUAUUUUCACACGAUAUAAAAAAUAAUAAAAGAAUUUAAGAAUAUAAAAAUGAUAAUUUAAAAGUACGUAAGUGAUAAUAAGAUAAUUUAAGAGUAUAUAAAUAAUAAUUUUUUUAUUUUAAUUUAAAUUUCAAAAAUAAAAUAUCAAUUCGCUGUAUUAACUUUCAGAUGGUAACUAAUGAUUUAGUUAUUAGUAUAUAUAUUUUGUCAACUUAAAAUGAACGAUUAAUAUUAUUUUUUACAACAAAACAAAUAUAAGGUAUAAAAUGAUAAUUUCCCUAACAUAAAUAAAGAAAUGAAACACUAUUUUCGCUUUUGCCACUUUCGUUUUCGGUUUCGAAUUAUCGUCGGAGUCUAGAAACUAGGUUGUGUAUUUAUUAUAUGUGCUCUGUUUUUAUUUGUUUAUCUUUUCUCUGUUCUGACACCUUAGAAAACUUAAUCAGAAAACGACAUGGCAAGGAGAAAAGAAAAUAUUAUACUAGGGUUAUUGAUAUUAAAUCAGAGCUAGAAUUAGCCUUAGGGUUCCUUCUUUUAAACCCUAAAAAUUGAAAACUCAAGUUUAUUAUUUAUCGUAAUAUAAUUAAAUUCCGACAAAGUUAAAUAAUGGGUUCAUUUGAUGGGUAAGUCGUGUAAAAUUUAUCAAUCAUUUUUCGCGUAAAAUUAAUAGUAGAAAUUUCCAAAUCUAAGCGAAUGUCAAAUUUGGUCCAACGCAUGAAAUAAAUUAAAACUCUGGAGAUGAUAACUUUCUAGAUAAUGUAAUUGAUUGUCCAAGUGAUUGAGCUUUUUAUAUAUGGAACUGCAAAUGUAAUUCCUCUGUCCCGCAUUUCGGUCCUUUUAUAGAAGGUUAGAUAUUAUAUUUUGAUGAACUAUUAUUUGAACUAAUUAAAUAAUGAUAUAAUUUUUAUUAUUUUAAUCGAGAUAUAAAUUAAAUAUUCUAAUUAAGCAAAUAUAGUAUUAUUUUUAUGUUUUCAUUGGCUUGAUUCUUGACCAAAUCAUCUUUCAGUACGCAUCCCUCAGUUGAUUACUGACAUGGCAUUAACCCUUCCCUGGUUGAGACGCAAGUAACAGGUACCUACUGGCGAUCGAGGUCGGUUGAAUUAUUUGAUGCAGUACAUCAUAAAAUUUUUUUACUAAAUUUGGUAUAGAUUAUAUCACAUUAACAUAAUUUUUUUAAUAAAAAUUUACUAAUGGUAUAUAAUUAAUAAUUCUUAAUUGACAUUUCUCUCUCCUACUUGUUUGCUUAUCCUUCCACCAUUUUUAUUUUAUUUUUUUCAUUUAUCUCUUACUUUGUGUUUUGUUUCAGCUUCUCAUAAACUCUUUCACUCCCAAUCUAUAAACAAAUAUUUUCAUGCAUUUGUCAUAGAAUUCCAGUUAAAUCAUAUAUUUUUGGUCCAACAGUACUUAUCGGAAAAAAAAUUAUUUCAACAAAAAAUCAUUGAUUUUUAUUUAAGCCCACAUUAAUUGAUCCACAUUUCCACACACAAGUAAAAUUAUACAACCUCGCAUACAAAAUGCAGCUUUUAAAGUUCAGAAGUUUCACUAUGCUCUGAUUUUACAAUCAUAAAGAUUGCAAAUAAUAUUUUUUUUUUAAUCAAAAAGGCAUAAAUGACAAAGCUUUUAUUAUAAUGAUCGGCCGAUGAAUCGCAUGUGCCAGAAGAGCCGAAGACAAACCCAGUAAAGCAGAAAAAACAAAAAAGUAUUAACUCAUAGGACAAGUUUAAUUAAUAAAAAUUAAUUAUAUUGAGUAAGAAAUAAGGAUCACUUAAAUUUUAUUUCUUCUUGUGUUUGGGGUAAAAGGAUUAUAUAUAGCUUUACUGAUGUAAUCAUCAUCAGGUAUGUGUAAUUUAUGAAGCUGCGUCCAUAACCGGAUCCACCAAGAAGUCACAUUUAAAUCGAACAGCUGUUUUUGUAUUCAAUCGAGAGAUUAUACAUUAGGCUUAGGGUUGCAGCACCUCAAUGGCGAGCUGAAAAUAAUAAAUUGUUGUUGACUUAGAAAUAUAAAAUGAAUUAGAAUGAUCGAGAUAAUCGGAUAUAACAGAUCAUAUUAUAAUAAAUACGAUCUGAUCCGAUGUAAUGGAGUUCGAUAAUAUCAAUACCGAUUGUGCGUAUAAGCCAAUAGCAGUUCUUGAUUUCUUGUAUUGUAUGAUUGUGUUGUAUCCAUUCGAUUCAAGCAUAAAAUAUAAAAAAUGAGACGGGUAUGAGUUGAGCAGUGCUGCAAAAGAAAAGAUGAUCGCCCACUCAGCCGCUUGGCAGUUUGCAUGCAGUCCAUGAGCAGCCAUUUUUCAUUCAGCUGCUCACCGUCCUUGGUCCUUAUUCCUAAUAUUUAUUACCCUAUCAACUAACUCUCUUGUAAUUUUUUUUUUUUUUUACAACAUCAAUGAUAUAAGUAACAUGUACUGUUGAAUCUAAUCAGCUGUACAAAUUAUUUCUAUUAAUAAUUUUUUUAAAAUAAUAGAACUAGUUAACAAUCGGUUCAAAAUGUGAUUUGAAAUUUAAAAAAAAAAGUAAAAAGAGAUAUGAUAAAAAUAAUAAUAUCUCGGGUUCUUUUAUUUAAAAUUAAACAAGUAUUACUUAUUUUAUAGCAUUUUGAUGUCGAAACAUAUGAACCGCUUUGAUUAUUUUAAUUGAUUUGAUAGUUAAUCCUUGUGACUUUGAGUCCUAUUAUCAAAUUGGGUUACUUUAAAAAAAAAAUGAAAGAGAAAGUGGUUGUGCAAGGGUUUAUCAAUGAUUAUUUUUUAGGUACUUAAACUUAUAUCUAAGGCUGAACCUUAUCUAAACUACUUGCUUUUGGUCGCCCGAGCACAGCCUGCCAACAAUUAUGGCGGUUGAAUUUGAAUGGAAGACUAGUAUUCUUUCCAAGCAGUGGACCUAAGAAAGGGCGAAGCAAGUGACUUUUACAAUUACUUUGCUUCUUCUGUUCAUUAAAAUACACUUUGCAUUUGACGUGUGGUUAUUUCAAGAUGAUUUGGUACCAAAACUUAUUUUUAAGUUAUGCCAAUUAAAUUCAAAAUAGCAAUAUUUAAUUGUUUUCAUUAUACCCCGGAAAUUCUUCUUUUGUUAAAUUAAAAUUAUGCAUAAUUUGAUUCUAUAAGAAUGUAGCCCGUAUAAUGGUCGACUUUUACCUAUCUAAUUCUUUGAAAUAUUUUAUAUUUGUAUGAAUAAUAUGAUCUUCCAGGGACUUUUAGUCGCUCAUGUGCUUUAUUUUGUUAUCCCUCGUAUAUUCUUUGGUUUCAUGAUUGUUGAUUUCAUGUAGAAGAUUUAUUUAUAUUUGUACAGGAAAGAUAGUUUUACUUUUCAAAUUAUCACAGGAGACUCUCUGCUUGUUAUUGACUUAUUAUUUCAUCAAUUGUGCUAGAUGAAGGAAAUGGAGUUCAAGAAGUUGUUCGAUACACAAAAUAUUGCUGCCUUGCUGCCUUUCGUAUUAAGAGGAAUCCGAUUCAGUGUGUUCUCCUUCCUCACUGCUCGUUGCCAGCUCUUGAAGUGCACCCAACAUUUACCGUACGAAAAGCGGUCUGCUGUACCGUACAUCCGCCUUGGCCGUACAGCAGAAUAAAAAUGAAAAUGAAAAUGGUGUUUUGCAAUUGCUGUAUUUCGAAUUUCAAUAUGUGUCUAGUAUCAUUUUCUGUAUCCUGUAUUUUAAAACUAAAAACUAAAAACAGUAAUAUGCGUUUGGUAGACACAGUUGAAAAUUAGGGGUGGGCAAUAGUCGGUUCGGCCGAGCCGAGCCGAACCGAACCAAAACCAAUCGGUUCUUUAGAAGAUGAACCGAAUAGGGACCGAAUUUAGGAACCGAACCGAACCGAACCGAAAUAUUUCGGUUCGGUUCGGUUCGGUUCCUAAAUUCGGUCCCUAUUCGGUUCAUCUUCUAAAGAACCGAUUGGUUUUGGUUCGGUUCGGCUCGGCUCGGCCGAACCGACUAUUGCCCACCCCUAAUUUUCAACUGUGUCUACCAAACGCAACUACGCACAGGAUCCUUCAACAACGUUCUUCCAAAGAUUGGUGUAGGUAACAAGUUCUGUGCUGCCACCCAACUUCGAAAAACUUCCCACACACACAUUCCCCCACACACACCCACACCCACACCUAGUAGCCCUGCUGUACGGCCAAGGCGGAUGUACGGUACAGCAGAUGACACACACACACACACACACAUAUAUAUAAAUCGGUCUCAAGUUAGUCUUGACUGUAAAAUCCAUUUUGUGGCGAAGUGCAAAGUAUGACAAGAGAUGACAAGGCAAAAGCAGCCAGCCAAUAUAACAAGAUAAUAAAUAAUAGUAUCACCACCAAUCUAGCGAGUUCACUUCGUUUAUCCUUAAUGAAGUCAAGCAUGACAAUGCCAAAAGAUAGUCAAUCAUAAUUAAAAUUCAAAACAAGUGAAAAAAAAUCAUCAUAAAACCUUGAAAAUCAUUGUAGACAAGGUUCCAUUAUCCAUAGCAACAAAAGUCAUGGCAACUAAUUAUAACCACUGAUCUCCAAAGGGCACCAUACACUAUCAUAAUUGAAGUAUUCUGCUGCUUGACUUACAACAUCAAGAACAUCAGGUCAAAAAGGGCCAGAAUCCUUUCAGCUUGUUAGUCUGCUACUGUCAUGAUGCAAACCACUCACUGGCAGGCAUCUGUUUUUAGAAAAAAAAAGACUUCGACCUGUAAUCAUCAAAUCGUAAUUUAGCAAUCAGCAAUUCAAAUCCGCUACAGGGUUGAGCAACCUUUUGCAAAUCAAAAAGUUUGCACUAAUUCACAUAAUACAACUAAUACUAAAAUGAAUCUAAAACUCAGAUCAGGAAGUGGUCAAAGCCAUUAAAGGAAUGGUCAGAGUGUAACAAGCUACCAGGUGUUAACAAUGGAGGGAAGUGGUACAGUGUGCUUGAAUAUGCAAAAACAAUCAGAGUCUACCAACUGCAAUGAACUGGAUGCAGUAGGAAAUGCAUUAGUUGCCACCGUUAAGAAGAUAACCGUUGCCCACAGACAACAACAGUGUUGGAUACAUCCUAAGAAGAAACAGGGUACCUUCACUUUAUCUCUUUUAAGAAGAUUAAACAGUUCAAUAUGGAGGUAUAACAGAAACAGUGGACUACACUGAAGAAGAUAUUCGAUUGAAAAUUAAGGAGUUGAUUAAAUCUUUAAGAUACUGAGACAGCAUAGUUUUUUAUGAAUGGAAACAAAAUAGUAGCCAUGUUGCAAGUUACAAAUUCAGCCUGGAAGCAGAAUUUUUUUUUGCGACAAGGAUGGCAUGAAGAUGACCGGCGUCGCACGAGCUUUCAAUCGGUACCAACCUUGGUCGGAGGAGUGGCCGGAAACGGAGACAAAAUCCGAGUUGGGUUCGUGGGUAUUGUGAUAAAGAGAGGGGUAUUGUGAUGUAUGUGCAAUAUAGAAUAAAAAUGUGUAAAUAGUAAAUAGUUUAAGGUGCUAAGUAAAAUGUUCAUAUGGAUGCAGUAGAAAUUAACUUAAUAUUUAUAAAGUAAAGAUUAAAUAAAAUUGAGUAAAAUGGGUUCUAUAAAAAUUUACAAUUGUGCUGACAAAAAGACAAAAAUAGUGGUACGGUACCACUGUGGUACCGUAGCUUGAUCCUCCUUAAAGUUUGAAUUAAUGAUAGAAUUACACAAAUAUUUUACUUUAGUGGGCUUAUUGAUGACAUGCGUAUCAUUUUUGUCAAUUUAUAGUUGUAAAUUUAUAUUUUUAAAAUGUAUUUUAAUCAUCAUUCCUACUUACCUCACAAAGUUGCUUUGUUUUCCCAAAAAAAGAAAAAGAAAAAAACCGUUUGAAAUAUUUUUUACGUGAUGCAUAAUUAUUGUGAGAAAAUAUAUACGAUGUUUGGGUGUUGUUUUACCAAUUUUCUAUCUAAAUAUGCAUAUGAAUAAACAUGUGAUUGACUUGUAAAAAUAAUGUGGUACUUUAAAUGUACAAAAUCGAUUAUGGAAUGCAAUUUAAUAUGCUCUAUAUUACUUUGAAGUUGGACACCGCGGUUAACUAACUACAAUAUGCACUAAAAAGGUGCUAUUGAAAUGAAUAUGUGAUUUUAAUCAUUUUAAAAUCUGAAAUUUGUGAUCUAAAACAUUUCGGGCAGAUGUUUAAUCGCAGCAGUUAUCUUUCACAAAUUAAAAAUUUUUACAUCAAAUUUUUUAGAGUAAUGAUACAGCCACAAACUCUUGUACAAACUUAUUUUGUACAAACUGACGUGGCAUGAUAAGAUUGGUUGAAUGAAAAUAUAAAUUAAUAAAAACAAAUCAUGUGGGCCAAGUGAUAUUUAAUUCAACCAAUCUUAUCAUGCCACAUCAGUUUGUACAAAAUAAAUUUGUACAAGAGUUUGUGGCUGUAUCAUUACUCAAUUUUUUAUUUUAUUUUAAGUGGUCGUCAAUUUAUCUUCCAUUCCUAGUUUUUUUUUUAAAUACCGAUAAUACACCAGAUUAUUGAAUUACAUUAGAUAUUUACAAUUGUUAUUACAAUAGAUAAUUAUAUUGAUAUUUAUAAUCAGACAUAUAAUUGGAGGUAUUAAAGUACCUUGUCCAGAUAAAUAACCCUCACAAACGAAGAAUAUUUCUACUCCAUUCUUAUUUCAUAAGGAAAAGAACUUACAAAUAAAUCUACACAAUUAUACAUAAUUCUUAAUUCUCAUUACCCUCAUUAUCUGUGAGGGUAAUGAGGGUAAAAGUUCACCGGUCCAGUGCUAUGCUAGUUAAGUGAUUGUGAUCUAACCAUUCGGGAAAUCUCAAUAGACCUUGUAUUUCGGUCGUUUUACAUUUUCCAUGACCAAUGGGCCAGCGCCACAAAAUAAAUUAAGAUUUAAAAUAACUAACAUAAAUGAUUAUUUAAUUUAAUAAUACUAGGGGAAAAAAAAGAGAGUAAACAAAUUCCAAGGACUUGACUUUUCUUUUUGAACAGUAUGCCAGGAAAAAAGUAACAAUUGCUAUGUCUCUCAUGUUUGCCACAAGGCAGACCACUCAAUUAGUUUCAUUACUUCCCUUUUUCUUGGUUUUGAUUAAAUAUAUAUAUAAUUACCAUUUAAUUUUAGAUCCGCCGUAAAAUUUUAUAACAUGGGUACAUUUAUGAUGACAAAAACAUUAAAAAAGAGGAAAAAAAACAUGAUCCAUAGCAUAUGCAUUUAUAAAUAUAAUUCAUAUUCAAACAAUGAGCCUCAUAAUUUAUUUGUUGCUAAUUAAACUAGCGGGAUACUAUAAUUUAUUAAUGCCAACGAAGCGACACAGUACAAAUAGACUUGCACUUGUGAGCUCCGUAGCUGAUGAUUGUCUUGGGUGCUUUGAUCCUGAAGUAGCCGUUCUUGUCCGUUUUGCCAACCACAUUGAGUGGAUACUUGGUGUUGUUGCACUGCAAUUUCAGAGUCGCCCCUGCAAUUGAACCCAUGGACAAUAUUAAAAGAAUAAAAAAAAAUUUAAAUACUAGGGACUUCAAAAAGAGAGCUUGAAAAAGGAAAAAGUAGCUAGCUAUGCUGCCAUAACCAUGCCUCCUACUGAAUGUGACAUAAACCUAGAACAAAGAGAAAGAAAGAGAUCAAGAGCACCUCUCUCUCUCUCCAUUCAAAAUCUGGAAAUGUAUACAUCACGCAUCCAUGAAAACAAAUGCACAUUCGCAUCCAUACGUAUGUUAUGUAUGCAUGAUAUCUAACUAAACAUACAUGUGAAAUUAAUUGAAGUAAUAAUGAUAGAAAAAAAUCAAGUAUGUAAGAGUUUGGAGCAGGGAAAAUUAAGUUGAAAGAUUUCGAAACUGACCUAGAACAGCGGUAGCUCCUAGGAGGGUAUCAGCUCCUGCGUACUUGCAAGACUUGCAAUAAACGACGCCUUGAACUUCAACAAGGCUCCUAGGGAAACGAUGGGUGGGUGUGGGUGGGUGAGCAGGAGCAACGUGUGGUGGAGGUGGGUGAGCAGGAGCAACGUGCGGUGGAGGUGGGUGAGCAGGAGCAACGUGUGAAGGUGGGUGAGCAGGUGCAUGAGCGGGAGUGUGAGCCGGUGCAUGAGCCGGCGGGUGGGGGUGGUGGUGAUGAUGGUGGUGGCUUGGGGCGUGAGCCGGUGGGGCAGUAGGAGGGUGGCUGUGGUGGUGGUG